RNAcentral lists this unclassified non-coding RNA (392 nucleotides) under uncultured fungus. Its description in RNAcentral is "sequence contains ITS1". The stretch from base 1 to 105 matches the Rfam family "5.8S ribosomal RNA", at positions 50 to 154 of the family's 154-position model. Lineage: Eukaryota; Fungi. The record is from RNAcentral.
GAAAUGCGAUACGUAAUGUGAAUUGCAGAAUUCAGUGAAUCAUCAAAACCUUGAACGCAACUUGCACCAGAGAGCUCUCUCUCUGGUACACUUGUUCGAGUGUCGCUUUUAAAAAAUCCCAUCAUCUAAAAUCUAUAGAUGGUUAAUGGGAGUUCACUCUAACCGGUGAUCUCCUUAAAAAUAGAGGGUAAAUUUAAUCCACAUAAAAAACUCUCUUUGAUCAAACUUGGUGUUUGAGUGUAUCCAUUUAAUUUGUGAUCACUAUUCCACCAGAAUAGAUCUUUAUCUGAGAAUUAUGUUCGAUUAUACCCCGAAGUAACAAUAACCGAUUAAAACCCGGUUCUUUUAUCUCUUGCGACCUCGAAUCAAGUGAGAUUACCCGCUGAAUUUAA